Long non-coding RNA from Solanum tuberosum (potato), 673 nucleotides. RefSeq lists it as uncharacterized. The transcript is spliced from 3 exons. NCBI's taxonomy places the organism in Eukaryota, Viridiplantae, Streptophyta, Magnoliopsida, Solanales, Solanaceae. The record is from RefSeq and is a predicted model, not a curated record.
AAGAAUCAGAAGAAGAACGAGAAACGUACAGCAGUAAAACCCUAACUGAGCUUCAAAUCCUGCAAAAUAGAACAAAUUAACUGAACUCUUCUUCAAAUCCCGUAAACGAAGGAUGCACUACUUCACGUCUCUUCAUCAUGCUCCCAAAAUUCUAACUAUUUAUUCCAGUUUACAGAAGCUUGAAAUCACAAAUCGUUACUUCCUUCUUCAGUUAAGAAAGAAGUUGGAAUUAUUUUGGGAUUUUCUCUGUAUGUUGCCAAAUCGAAGACAAGCCAGUGAGAAAGUCAGAAGUUUGCUAGAAUACAUUUACAAAUAUAAUUAAGGAUAAGGUGGGUGGACCUUCAACAUUAAGGAAUGAAGAAGGUCUUGAAGUAGAUGACAGAGACAUGGAGAGAAACACGACCACAAAUGGAGAAGAUGAAGGAGAAAAAACUAGUGAAGAUGAAGUGAAUUUAUUGAAAACGGUUUCGGAGGAGCAAUUACUGAAAACUUGGAUAGAAACAGUUGGUGGAACUAAAAAAGGAAAAAUAUAUGGGCUUGGUUCUAGAAAUUGUUUGCUGGCAGAUUCUUUGAAUUCUAAUUGUAUAUCUUCCACUGCUCAGAAUCCUUCAAAUAUUCCUACUCAACAAAUAUUUGAAACACCUGAAUUUCAACAACUUCUUGACCAUGUGUU